Molecule: long non-coding RNA, 1176 nt
Organism: Tyto alba (common barn owl)
Lineage: Eukaryota; Metazoa; Chordata; Aves; Strigiformes; Tytonidae
Exons: 2
Source: RefSeq, a predicted model, not a curated record
GGGGUGUCAAUGCGGAAAAACAAGAGCCCCAAAACCCAGUAGGACGAGGUUAAGCAGGAUCCUUGCUCAAUCCACCCUUUCCCCUCCUGCAGCCGAGGUCUGCCAGCGCUGCACCGGGUCCGCUUGGCGCAGAGCCGUGCAAACACGCCGCCCCUGAGCAGCGAGGCAGAGGACCUUUGCUCCUUGGCGAAUCCUCCCCCCCCCCCCCCCCCCCCGCUGUUUUUAAGCCCUUUUACUGACGCGCCGUCAAGUCCCUGCCUGUCCCGGUGCUGCAGGCAGGCUCUGCCCCGCUCCCGGGGAGGCUCGGCAUCGCAGGCAGCCUGCCAAGCCUUGCAAAACAGCAGCCUCAAAGCAGCCCCGCGACAUUUCAAAUCUGGCUCGUCCUCUGUGGGCUGAGUCAGGGCGGCAGCGGCUGCUUUUCCGACUGGGAAAUACGACGGGUCCUGGCAUGAUGCCUGGCUGCCGCCAGAACCCAUCUCCUCCUCCUCCUCCUCCUCCUCCUCCCCAUGCAGCCACGGCCGAGUCUGCCCCCGCAGUGGGAUGUCUCCCCACCCCGCAUCCCUCCCCGGCUGGGGGAAUUGUGCAAUCUCCCAUCCCAAAUCCUCUCCCAACCCUCAGGCGCUGCCGCAAUAACCAGCUCCUGCAAUAACCAGCGUGGCCGGAUCCAGCCCAGCCCCGUGGAGGAUUGAACAGAGCCGAGGAAACGCGGGGACUCGGCCACUCUCCGAACCCCUGGGAGCAUCACCCUGCUCCCUUUUCCCGCAGGGCAAGUGGCUGUGCCCCGGGGGACGGGGUGGCACCAGGAGCGGGAGGAUGCUCCGACGGGGAACGGCAUUCCCGACCAUACCCUGACUCCGGGAGCUGGCGCCUCGGUGGUCCCAGGGGCCCGGCCGAGCAAGCCCCGAAGUGCCAAGUGAUGUUUGCCGCUCCCCUGGCCCGGGCAGCGUGCCUGUUCCUGCCUUCCCUGCCCCAAAACCCUUUCCCUGCCUUCCACCUUCUCAAUCUCGGCCUUUUCAUUUGCAUUUGUGCCCUGUGGAUCCCGCUGUACCCCUGGGGUACAGCGAGCAAGCUGUCCCACGGUAUCACGGGACCUUAAAGCUGAUGGCAACCAGGAAUAAAAAGAAAACUUAUUCAAGGGCAUAGUUACCCAGUGAGUAAAAAACAACAGUGUUGGUU